RNAcentral lists this ribosomal RNA (301 nucleotides) under uncultured bacterium. RNAcentral's name for it is "partial 16S ribosomal RNA". It matches the Rfam family "Bacterial small subunit ribosomal RNA", at positions 509 to 807 of the family's 1533-position model. The record is from RNAcentral.
CAGUCGCCACGGGAAAACAGAGGGUGCAAGCGUUAAUCGGAUUUACUGGGCGUAAAGGGCGCGUAGGUGGUUAUUUAAGUGAGAUGUGAAAGCCCCGGGCUUAACCUGGGAACUGCAUCUUAUACUGGGUAACUGGAGUGCAGUAGAGGGUAGUGGAAUUUCCGGUGUAGCGGUGAAAUGCGUAGAUAUCGGAAGGAACACCAGUGGCGAAGGCGGCUACCUGGACUGAGACUGACACUGAGGCGCGAGAGCGUGGGGAGCAAACAGGAUUAGAUACCCGCGUAGUCCCUGUCUCUUAUAC